CCCUUAGAUGUUCUGGGCCGCACGCGCGCUACACUGAUGCGUUCAACAAGUUUCCUUGGCCGAGAGGCCUGGGCAAUCUUCUUAAUAUGUAUCGUGAUAGGGAUAGAUUAUUGCAAUUAUUAACCUUGAACGAGGAAUUCCUAGUAAACGCAGAUCAUCAAUCUGCAUUGAUUACGUCCCUGCCCUUUGUACACACCGCCCGUCGCACCUACCGAUUGGAUGUUCCGGUGAAGCCUCGGGAUGAGGACUGGUGCCUUUAUUGGCAUGAGUUGUUCAGAACUUGUCUAAACCUUAUCAUCUAGAGGAAGGUGAAGUCGUAACA
This 322-nucleotide ribosomal RNA is filed under the name uncultured eukaryote. RNAcentral's name for it is "partial 18S ribosomal RNA". It matches the Rfam family "Eukaryotic small subunit ribosomal RNA", at positions 1470 to 1796 of the family's 1831-position model. The record is from RNAcentral.